UAAAGGGCAGGCUUACGGUGUGAGGUGCUGUGUAACCCUAGAAACCCAAGCUCCACAGCAACCGUUUCUGUGGCGUGCCUUUAAAACCUGGAAAGCGGCCCUUUGCAGGAGAGGUGCGUGAUCCAGGGAGAAGGCAACGAUGGGGAACCACUGAACUGUAUGAACUAGUUGGACUCUUGCUGGGCAGUCCCCUGCCCUUGUCAGGGCAGCUGGUCAUCAGACAGGUGAUGCCCAAUCAGCACAGGGGCCACCUUGAUGAAAAAAGAGCAAGCUGCCCCACCAAACCUUCCUCUAGGAAGUAUCGCCCUAAGAUUGCCUCUCUGGAGCAGGCAGAAAGGAGCCAGGAGGUCCUGUGGAUGGACUCUGGAGGUAGACAAACGUGAGUUGGAAGCCCGGCUCUUUAACAGAUGGACAAAAAUACCAGUAUUAGUAAGAACUUACUGGUUUUAAGGAAUAGAUACUUAAAACAGCAUAAGUGAACAGGAUCACUUUAACAUCAAGAUACGGGGCUGUCUCUCAGCUGGAGUCCAGGGAGGCAUGCAGGUGCCAGAAGGACCAGACCAGGGAGUUGGACGGCUUCCUACCAGGAACCAUGUGGGAGCAAGACCAAGCCUGAGGUGCCUUUUUUGAUGGAUGAGAAACAAAGAACCAGGUUCCAGUCCACACGGUUACAGCACUUACAAGUUUCUGACCUUCAAAACAUCAUUUAACUGUCAUUUCCUCAGUCCCCCAGCCUGGCCUUCCUCCCAGAGUCGUGGGGCAUCAGGCGAGACAACGCACACACAGUCCCUCAGAACGCUGGAGAGCGCCGCGCCGCACCACCCGAGGAGCUGUUUUCCAUCUUCCCCGUGCGCCGGCAUCGUCCAUGAAGCUUGACAUUGGGGGCUGAGGAGGGGAGAUAAGAGUUCCCUUUGGAAUGCCAACUGAGUGUCAUCAGAAACUUGCUCAGCGGCCAGAGCGUUAAAGAAAAUGUAGAAGACUGAGAAGAUGGAAUUUGAAGAAUAUUCCACUCAGUCCCUGAGACGCCAGGGUAGACAGCUGUUACUUGUGUCUGCCUCGCAGCUCUUGCCCCUCUUUUGGGAAGAGAACUUCCUUCCUUGAAGGAACCACUCUUUUCUUUCUCUAUAUGGUUCUGGGCUGUUGGUCAGAGAACAUGGACCUGUACUGCUGGGCCACAGGGAUGGACAUGUGACCUUGGCCUAACCAUAAUGACACCCCACUUCCCUCACGUUAGCAAUUGGUCUGAGGAUUCAUUCAAGGAUCAAUA
Long non-coding RNA from Phyllostomus hastatus (greater spear-nosed bat), 1267 nucleotides. RefSeq lists it as uncharacterized. The record is from RefSeq and is a predicted model, not a curated record. The transcript has 3 exons. NCBI's taxonomy places the organism in Eukaryota, Metazoa, Chordata, Mammalia, Chiroptera, Phyllostomidae.